This 1533-nucleotide ribosomal RNA is filed under the name bacterium enrichment culture clone 73(2013). RNAcentral describes it as "bacterial SSU rRNA". It matches the Rfam family "Bacterial small subunit ribosomal RNA". The record is from RNAcentral.
AGUUUGAUCCUGGCUCAGGAUGAACGCUAGCGGUGCGCUUAACACAUGCAAGUCGUGCGAUCGAACCGGAUCAAUCACCCUUCGGGGUGUGCGAACCGGCGACGGAGCGGCGGACUGGUGAGUAACGCGUGGCCAACUUACCCUCUUGACGAGGACAACCACUCGAAAGGGUGGCUAAUACUCGAUAUUGCUGCGAAUCGAUGGGUUCGCUUCCAAAGGCGGUUCUGCCGUCGCAAGGGGAUGGGGCUGCGUCCUAUUAGCUUGUUGGUAGGGUAACGGCCUACCAAGGCGAUGAUGGGUAGCUGGUCUGAGAGGAUGAUCAGCCACAUUGGGACUGAGAUACGGCCCAGACUCCUACGGGAGGCAGCAGUGGGGAAUAUUGGACAAUGGGGGAAACCCUGAUCCAGCGACACCGCGUGGGGGAUGAAGGCUUUCGGGUUGUAAACCCCUUUUCUGGAGGAAGAAUAAGUUCGAGAGGAAAUGCUCGAGCGAUGACGGUACUCCAGGAAUAAGCAUCGGCAAACUUCGUGCCAGCAGCCGCGGUAAGACGAAGGAUGCAAGCGUUAUCCGGAAUUACUGGGCGUAAAGGGCGUCUAGGCGGUUGAGUAAGUCACUUGUGAAAUCCCUCGGCUUAACCGAGGACGGUCUUGUGAUACUGCUUAACUUGGGUGCAGGAGAGGAGAGUGGAACUCAUAGAGUAGCGGUGGAAUGCGCAGAUACUAUGAGGUACCCCGAUGGCGAAGGCAACUCUCUGGCCUGCUACCGACGCUGAAGCGCGAAAGCGUGGGGAGCAAAGGGGAUUAGAUACCCCCGUAGUCCACGCCGCAAACGAUGUUCACUGGGUGUCGGACGCUUAAUGUAGUUCGGUGCCGAAGCUAACGCGAUAAGUGAACCGCCUGGGGAGUACGGCCGCAAGGCUAAAACUCAAGAGAAUUGACGGGUCCCCGCACAAGCGGUGGAGCACGUGGCUUAAUUCGAUGAUAAACGAAGAACCUCACCUGGGUUUGACAUGCUAGUGGUAGGAACCUGAAAGGGGGACGACCCUUUUCUUCGGAUUUGGGAGCUAGCACAGGUGAUGCAUGGCUGUCGUCAGCUCGUGUCGUGGGAUGUGUAGGGUUAAGUCCCGAAACGAGCGCAACCCCCGUUCGUCAGUUGCCAGCGGAUCAUGCCGCGGACUCUGGCGAGACAGCCGGUUAUAAUCCCCCAAAAAAGGAGAGGAUGACGUAAAGUCACCAGUGGUCCCUUACGCCCAGGGCGGCACACAUGCUACAAUGGGGGGUACAAAGGGUUGCAAUGUCGUAAGGCGGAGCGAAUCUCAAAAAGCCCUCCUCAGUUCGGAUUGAGGUCUGAAACUCGACCUCAUGAAGCCGGAAUCGCUAGUAAUCGCAGGUCAGCCAUACUGCGGUGAAUAUGUACUCGGGGAUUGUACACACCGCCCGUCAUACCAACCGAGUGGGGGGUGCCUGAAGUCGCCUUCUUGUAAGGUGCCUAGGGUAACCUUCGCGAGAGGGGUAAAGUCGUAACAAGGUAACC